AGUGAACGCUGGCGGUAGGCCUAACACAUGCAAGUCGAACGGCAGCACAGUAAGAGCUUGCUCUUACGGGUGGCGAGUGGCGGACGGGUGAGGAAUACAUCCGAAUCUACUUUUUCGUGGGGGAUAACGUAGGGAAACUUACUCUAAUACCGCAUACGACCUACGGGUGAAAGCAGGGGAUCUUCGGACCUUGCGCGAUUGAAUGAGCCGAUGUCGGAUUAGCUAGUUGGCGGGGUAAAGGCCCACCAAGGCGACGAUCCGUAGCUGGUCUGAGAGGAUGAUCAGCCACACUGGAACUGAGCCACGGUCCAGACUACUACGGGAGGCAGCAGUGGGGAAUAUUGGACAAUGGGCGCAAGCCUGAUCCAGCCAUACCGCGUGGGUGAAGAAGGCCUUCGGGUUGUAAAGCCCUUUUGUUGGGAAAGAAAAGCAGCAGGUUAAUACCCCGCUGUUCUGACGGUACCCAAAGAAUAAGCACCGGCUAACUUCGUG
RNAcentral lists this ribosomal RNA (492 nucleotides) under uncultured bacterium. RNAcentral describes it as "partial 16S ribosomal RNA". It matches the Rfam family "Bacterial small subunit ribosomal RNA", at positions 29 to 507 of the family's 1533-position model. The record is from RNAcentral.